Molecule: ribosomal RNA, 490 nt
Filed under: uncultured bacterium
Lineage: Bacteria
Description: partial 16S ribosomal RNA
Rfam family: Bacterial small subunit ribosomal RNA
Source: RNAcentral
GAUGAACGCUAGCGAUAGGCUUAACACAUGCAAGUCGAGGGGCAGCAUGGUCUUAGCUUGCUAAGACUGAUGGCGACCGGCGCACGGGUGCGUAACGCGUAUGCAACUUGCCUCACAGAGGGGGAUAACCCGUCGAAAGACGGACUAAUACCGCGUACACUUGGGAUAGGGCAUCCUGACCCAAGGAAAUGAAAUUCGCUGUGAGAUAGGCAUGCGUCCCAUUAGCUAGUUGGUGAGGUAACGGCUCACCAAGGCGACGAUGGGUAGGGGAACUGAGGGGUUGAACCCCCACACUGGUACUGAGACACGGACCAGACUCCUACGGGAGGCAGCAGUGAGGAAUAUUGGUCAAUGGGCGAGAGCCUGAACCAGCCAAGUCGCGUGAAGGAUGACUGUCUUAUGGAUUGUAAACUUCUUUUAUACGGGAAUAACAAGAGCCACGUGUGGCUCCCUGCAUGUACCGUAUGAAUAAGCAUCGGCUAACUCCGUG